CGCACCUUGCACUCUUUGGUAUUCCGAAGAGUACGCCUGUUCGAGCGUCAUGAAAUUCUCAAAUUAACUUUUUUGGUUGGUUUGGACUUGGAUCUUUGCAACUGAAAUACUGUUGCUGAUCUUAAAUGGAUUAGUCUACGGGUUAUUAAGACUACUCGGCGUGAUAGCUUUCAUCGUUGAGGAAAUUAGUAACCAAAGGGCUUUCUAACCGUCAAUCAUGACAAAAUCAGAAACUUUCAAAUCUGACCUCGAAUCAGGUGGGACUACCCGCUGAACUUAA
This 280-nucleotide unclassified non-coding RNA is filed under the name Sistotrema diademiferum. RNAcentral's name for it is "partial contains 5.8S ribosomal RNA, internal transcribed spacer 2, and large subunit ribosomal RNA". The record is from RNAcentral. Lineage: Eukaryota; Fungi; Basidiomycota; Agaricomycetes; Cantharellales; Hydnaceae.